AAAUUGAAGAGUUUGAUCAUGGCUCAGAUUGAACGCUGGCGGCAGGCCUAACACAUGCAAGUCGAGCGGAAACGACACUAACAAUCCUUCGGGUGCGUUAAUGGGCGUCGAGCGGCGGACGGGUGAGUAAUGCCUAGGAAAUUGCCUUGAUGUGGGGGAUAACCAUUGGAAACGAUGGCUAAUACCGCAUAAUGCCUACGGGCCAAAGAGGGGGACCUUCGG
Molecule: ribosomal RNA, 222 nt
Filed under: Vibrio tasmaniensis
Lineage: Bacteria; Pseudomonadati; Pseudomonadota; Gammaproteobacteria; Vibrionales; Vibrionaceae
Description: partial 16S ribosomal RNA
Rfam family: Bacterial small subunit ribosomal RNA
Source: RNAcentral